Molecule: ribosomal RNA, 292 nt
Filed under: uncultured bacterium
Lineage: Bacteria
Description: partial 16S ribosomal RNA
Rfam family: Bacterial small subunit ribosomal RNA
Source: RNAcentral
GUGCCAGCAGCCGCGGUAAUACAGAGGUCCCAAGCGUUGUUCGGAUUUACUGGGCGUAAAGGGUGCGUAGGUGGUCGGGUAAGUCUCAUGUGAAAUCUCCAAGCUUAACUUGGAAAUGGCAUGGGAUACUAUUCGGCUAGAGGAUUGGAGGGGGGACUGGAAUUCCCGGUGUAGCAGUGAAAUGCGUAGAUAUCGGGAGGAACACCAGUGGCGAAGGCGAGUCCCUGGACAAUUCCUGACGCUGAGGCACGAAAGCUAGGGGAGCAAACAGGAUUAGAAACCCUCGUAGUCC